RNAcentral lists this ribosomal RNA (250 nucleotides) under uncultured bacterium. RNAcentral's name for it is "partial 16S ribosomal RNA". It matches the Rfam family "Bacterial small subunit ribosomal RNA", at positions 524 to 773 of the family's 1533-position model. The record is from RNAcentral. RNAcentral also lists the same sequence under 1 other name.
UACGUAGGGGGCGAGCGUUGUCCGGAAUUAUUGGGCGUAAAGCGCGCGCAGGCGGUCCCUUAAGUCUGAUGUGAAAGCCCACGGCUUAACCGUGGAGGGUCAUUGGAAACUGGGGGACUUGAGUGCAGAAGAGGAGAGCGGAAUUCCACGUGUAGCGGUGAAAUGCGUAGAGAUGUGGAGGAACACCAGUGGCGAAGGCGGCUCUCUGGUCUGUAACUGACGCUGAGGCGCGAAAGCGUGGGGAGCAAAC